This 471-nucleotide ribosomal RNA is filed under the name uncultured organism. RNAcentral's name for it is "partial 16S ribosomal RNA". It matches the Rfam family "Bacterial small subunit ribosomal RNA", at positions 335 to 797 of the family's 1533-position model. The record is from RNAcentral.
ACUCCUACGGGAGGCAGCAGUGGGGAAUUUUGGACAAUGGGCGAAAGCCUGAUCCAGCAAUGCCGCGUGUGUGAAGAAGGCCUUCGGGUUGUAAAGCACUUUUGUCCGGAAAGAAAUCCUUGGCUCUAAUACAGUCGGGGGAUGACGGUACCGGAAGAAUAAGCACCGGCUAACUACGUGCCAGCAGCCGCGGUAAUACGUAGGGUGCGAGCGUUAAUCGGAAUUACUGGGCGUAAAGCGUGCGCAGGCGGUUUGCUAAGACCGAUGUGAAAUCCCCGGGCUCAACCUGGGAACUGCAUUGGUGACUGGCAGGCCAGAGUAUGGCAGAGGGGGGUAGAAUUCCACGUGUAGCAGUGAAAUGCGUAGAGAUGUGGAGGAAUACCGAUGGCGAAGGCAGCCCCCUGGGCCAAUACUGACGCUCAUGCACGAAAGCGUGGGGAGCAAACAGGAUUAGAAACCCGUGUAGUCCCA